This 254-nucleotide ribosomal RNA is filed under the name uncultured bacterium. RNAcentral's name for it is "partial 16S ribosomal RNA". It matches the Rfam family "Bacterial small subunit ribosomal RNA", at positions 524 to 776 of the family's 1533-position model. The record is from RNAcentral.
UACGUAGGUGGCAAGCGUUGUCCGGAUUUACUGGGCGUAAAGGGCGCGUAGGCGGCCACCGCAAGUCGACUGUGAAAUCUCCGGGCUUAACCCGGAAAGGUCAGCCGAUACUGCGGGGCUAGAGUGCAGAAGGGGCAACUGGAAUUCUCGGUGUAGCGGUGAAAUGCGUAGAUAUCGAGAGGAACACCUGCGGCGAAGGCGGGUUGCUGGGCUGACACUGACGCUGAUGCGCGAAAGCUAGGGGAGCAAACAGG